RNAcentral lists this non-coding RNA (18 nucleotides) under Mus musculus (house mouse). Lineage: Eukaryota; Metazoa; Chordata; Mammalia; Rodentia; Muridae. The record is from RNAcentral.
CCAGAGGGAGAAGCUUGU